AAUGGUUUGGAACCAUUUGCACAACUGCAAGCUCCUUACCAUGCGCAACAUCCCACACUCAUGCCUUUCUCCACGUCACAAACAAGCUAUACACGUGCUUACCCUGAUCAGCCUUCAGCAGCAGCAGCACAGCAGGCCCAACUUCAGUUGCCUGCUCAUCUCACCAGCCCAUAUUGCAUUCCCCAUGCAAGUUCUAAGGCCUUGACAAAGCAGCCACAGCAUCAGCAGCAGCAGCAGCUUUGGGCCGCUCAGUUGGCAGCUCAAUACAGGAAUACUGCAACUUCAACAGCCAUGACUCAGUUUCCAAGCUGGCUAAAUGGGAGGCAAGAAUCGCCUGGGCUAAUGCCCUGUAUUCCUUCUUUGCCUUCAAGUUCAACACUGGAAGUACUAGGCCCCAAGUAUCCUCACAUCUCUCAGCAGCAGCAGUUCAUGGCCAUGACUUUGCCGCAUGCAAGGAUGAAGAGGCAAGAUCACCAAAUUCCUUCUGUUUAUGAAGAAAAUGGAGUUGGGUUUCGAGCUGGUGGUGGCGCAUUGCCAUUGCAAUUACUCUGCAAUGAGCAACUGUGAAAGGAAUGGAGUAAAGAGCUGUUACAAUCAGACGAUGGACACAGACAGUAACGUUAUUUUAUUCUUUACUCUGUUAAAGCUUGUGACUCAUUGCUCCAUUUGGGCAUGGUCAAAAGGUAAAUAACGAUCUAAGGUGUAGCUGGUGCAUCAAAAUAACAUGGGAAGAAGUGGAGCCUGGGAAAUCAGAUGCCUCUCAGCGCAUUAAAAUAUAUCAGCCGACAGAGAUGGUUUGCAGAGAGAAUUUUGUGGCAUCCUCAUAUUUAGCUCAUUUUAAGUCGGUCUUGCCAAUUUACACAGAAAAUAGAAAGAAACUUGCUUAUGCCCAGGCUUCCUGCCUCUGAUCAUACAUUCUUAACCCUCUUCUUCGCAUGUAUGAUUUUUAUCCACUUGUAUUUUACACGGUUAGCAGUUGGAUAUUAGUUAUUUACGCACAGUAAGACAAGGGAGGAAACAAAAUAACAGCUGCAUGGGGAAAGGGACCCAAGAACUUAUUUGCCCUUGCAAGUGACGUACAUUUUCAUUGCCCUAAAGAUUGGCCUGAUACUCUCACCUGAUAAGAGAACAAGCUCAAGUACGAAUUGUGGACCUUAAAAGUAUAGUACUCUUAAUGAUAAUACAUUAAAUGUUAUCGCACGCCUUCUUGUCCAUACUGGAAUGGCAGAUGCCAUAUAGUAAAUGAAACCCUAUGUUUCAUUUCAUGCCAUCCCCUCUGGACCCACUUGUAUGGAAGUUUUCUCUCCCUGAUACCCAGAAUAGGAAAAAUUCAACAUUUCACUUGAAAUCGAACUUUUUCAUAUCCUUCGUUGAUUAUUAAAGAAUAAAGUUUCGAUGAUUAGCACCAUUGUUCCAAACACCAAGGGAGAUGCAUAUGUGGAAAUUUCCGCCUUGAUUUUCAAAUAUUACAAGCGAAGUAAUGGUUUUACCAAAUGAACAAACGAAUAAAUGCAGAACCAGAACAAAACAAAGCUGGGCGGAAGAACAAGGAAAAAUGAAAUCUCUAAAUGCUCUAACUACAGAACGUGUUUACUCGAGCUUCUCCAAUUCCCCCAUUCUCUCUAUGAUUGCCUUCUUGCUUGUUUCUUGGAGUUCCCCAGCAAGAAUGAAUUCAUCAAGUAUCAAAUAAACCUGUAAAGCCACCAGGUUAAUCAGCACACAUUGCAACAAAGAAUACUUUUUUUCUUCUUUUCGAAUCAACAAAGGAUACAUAGAUCCAUUUGUAAGGUGAAAACACAUGCCCAUAAUCUGUGUGCGCACACAAAAGACUAAAUUGCAGAAGAUGGAAUGCAAUAUGCAUCUAUCUAUUGUAACUCUUACAGAAAUAAUAAGAAGCAAAAAACUAAGCCUAGUUACAACUAGUAAUGCUAAUGUGUGCAUGUUUCUUCUAAUUGGAUGAUAUUUCAAAUAUGCAUAGCUCUCAAGGAACUUUGGUCAACACCAUUACAAGAAUAGAUCAAAACAAAUUAACCAGUAAGGCAAGAUUUACAUGAGGCAUGAGAAGAACAAGAAAAAAUAUUGGUACGCUACAAAAAAAAUUCCAAAACAGAAGAUGUGCAUAGAGCACAAAAUCAAAUGUGUAAACAAGAAAAAUCAAGGUGUUGACAAACCUUGUGAAAGUUGAAUACCAAAUCUAGCUCACAAACAUUGCUGAAGAAAUGAUCCAAUAUCUCCACAAAUAAAUGGAUGCACUCUAAAUAUGCCAAUUCAUUAUCUGUUAUAUCAACACACAGUGAGAAAAAUAAUCCAGCAUACCGCCUGUAGAUGACCUUGUGUGUUCGGAACUGCAAGAAAAAGUAUUUAUCAUGGAAACAAGACAAAAUAUUCAGAAGAUAUUACCAAAAAGAUGACAAAACAAGAUACUUUAAAUUGUUCAAGCUAGACAAAACAAUUUAAUAUAAUGAGGACCAGGAAGUCCUGUUAACCAUAGGAACAGUUAAUGCUAAAAGAAACACCAUAACAUAAAGAACACGCCAUCUAAUAUGCAACCAGUGGUGAAUAUGAAAAAAAUUUUCAGAGGUCAACAUAUAAAAAAUUUUCUAGGUACAAGUUUUUUUUUAUUUAUUUUUUCAAAUAAAAGGAGGGUCGGUUGACUUCCCAUUUGCAGAAAUUCAUCUGUCAAUAAAAAAAAAGGGGGUCAAUAUAUAUAUAUAUAUACACAUACACACACACACACACAUAUAUAUGAGUAAUUUUAAGAGGUCAAUUGACCUCCCAUUUGUGGUAGUACAUCCGCCCCUGUAUGCAAUCCACGCAAAGCUGGUACCUGUAUUUCCAACCUCAAUCUGAAGAAGAAGAUGCAAUAAUAGGAAAGCUAAGGAAUUCUCGAGAUCAAUAUGUUUGAAGUAAAACAAAGUAAUGCAUGUAAAGUGACUAGUGAAAUCAUUCUAACAUAAUCUGUCCCCGUCAGGGGUUGGGUUGGGCCUUAAUCUUGAAAUACUACAGCAUACCAUGGACUAGAAAAUUUUCUCAGAAUUUUUGAGGAACAAGUAGCAGCAACUAAAAUAUCUACAAAUGGAGUAAAGAUUACAGAAAAAUGGUUCCAGCCCAAGAAGUACAUGGACAAAACUGGAGUUCUGAAGCAAUUAGUAGCAGAAAACGCAAUCUUGAAGAGCACAAAUUCUUUAAAUAGGCUAAUUAAUUCACUCCACUAUAAAUCCAUGUCAACUAGCAAAGUAAUUGGGCUAUGUUCGUUUAGCUAGUCACUUCUAUUUAAUCAAGUGAAAAGGUGAAAAUUAUAACAAAUUGAUUAUGUUAAUCAUAAAUUUUCUCGCAACUAAACAAGAUUAGGAAAUCACCAACCUCAACAAAAUUCGUGAACUUGGGAUCUCUGUUAACCACCAACCGAUGAACCUCGUAUUCGACUUUGUGUUUCUCGGAAUCCUCGAGAGGAACAUAGUAUUUGGCAAGACGAGUCUUGCCUUGCCUGUUCUGCAGAAGUAUGAAUCGGAUCAUUCUUAUAGAAAGAUCAAAUGAACGAUAAUAGAACAAAAAUUGAGAAUUACGUGCAGAUUCCGUAAAUCUAGGGCACUGCACUUUUUUUCUUCUCUCUAUUUCUUCGUCCAAGCAGAGAGGUGAAAUUGAAA
RNAcentral lists this unclassified non-coding RNA (3647 nucleotides) under Hevea brasiliensis (rubber tree). Lineage: Eukaryota; Viridiplantae; Streptophyta; Magnoliopsida; Malpighiales; Euphorbiaceae. The record is from RNAcentral.